RNAcentral lists this ribosomal RNA (468 nucleotides) under uncultured bacterium. RNAcentral's name for it is "partial 16S ribosomal RNA". It matches the Rfam family "Bacterial small subunit ribosomal RNA", at positions 28 to 507 of the family's 1533-position model. The record is from RNAcentral.
GACGAACGCUGGCGGCGUGCUUAACACAUGCAAGUCGAACGGAAAGGCCCUGCUUUUGUGGGGUGCUCGAGUGGCGAACGGGUGAGUAACACGUGAGUAACCUGCCCUUGACUUUGGGAUAACUUCAGGAAACUGGGGCUAAUACCGGCUAGGAGCUCCUGCUGCAUGGUGGGGGUUGGAAAGUUUCGGCGGUUGGGGAUGGACUCGCGGCUUAUCAGCUUGUUGGUGGGGUAGUGGCUUACCAAGGCUUUGACGGGUAGCCGGCCUGAGAGGGUGACCGGCCACAUUGGGACUGAGAUACGGCCCAGACUCGUACGGGAGGCAGCAGUGGGGAAGAUUGCACAAUGGAAGGAAGCCUGAUGCAGCAACGCCGCGUGGGGGAUGACGGCCUUCGGGUUGUAAACCGCUUUCGCCUGUGACGAAGCGUGAGUGACAGUAAUGGGUAAAGAAGCACCGGCUAACUACGUG